This 168-nucleotide ribosomal RNA is filed under the name Trypanoplasma borreli. RNAcentral's name for it is "5.8S ribosomal RNA". It matches the Rfam family "5.8S ribosomal RNA". Rfam says of the family: 5.8S ribosomal RNA (5.8S rRNA) is a component of the large subunit of the eukaryotic ribosome. The record is from RNAcentral. Lineage: Eukaryota; Euglenozoa; Kinetoplastea; Parabodonida; Parabodonidae.
AACGUGUCGCGAUGGAUGACUUGGCUUCCUAUUUCGUUGAAGAACGCAGUAAAGUGCGAUAAGUGGUAUCAAUUGCAGAAUCUAUAAUUACCGAAUCUUUGAACGCAAAUGGCGCAUGGGAGAAAAACUUCGUGUUCGAUCCCCGUGCAUGCCGUAUCUCAGUGUCGA